AUAUAAUGUAAAAGAAUGAGACACGUCACCAUCGGUUCAACAGUUGCGAUCGAGUUCGCUUGUUCCUCGGGCAGUAAACGUUUCACAGCAUGGCUCAUAAGAAUUGCAAGAAAGAAAGGAUGAUCGUAUUAAAUUCAUCCACUCACAAUACGGAUCUUGAAUACUCUCCAGCACUCUGACACUGCUCCGGACACCAUUAUAAAAUGCGAUUCUCACGAAUGAAAAAAACUUUUGCUAUCAAUAAAAAAGGAUACACUGUUGAAAUAUAUCACCAAAACACAAAUUCAUCGAAAUAACACUUUUAAAUUUAUCGGAGGUAAAAGAAACAGAACACACAGAGUCUAAAUACGCAGGUAGUCAAACGUUGCAAUGUUGCACAGAAAAAUAGUAGAAGUAACACUCAGUCGGUAACUUUGAAACACCAUGAAACACUAUAUAAACACAUUAUUCUUCAUAAUCUUAAAAAUACAGUUCAAAUAAACGAUAGAACUGCAAGAGAACGAUAGAA
Apis florea (little honeybee) is the source of this 508-nucleotide long non-coding RNA. RefSeq lists it as uncharacterized. NCBI's taxonomy places the organism in Eukaryota, Metazoa, Arthropoda, Insecta, Hymenoptera, Apidae. The record is from RefSeq and is a predicted model, not a curated record.